GUCUUCUUUGAUUUUAAGUAAUUUAAUUCCAUAUUUAGAAAUAUUUAAGUGAUAUCAAUAUGAUCUAAAAUGACAUUUUGGUUAUAUAUGGGUUAGUUCCUAAUUUCAGUGUUUAUUUAGUUAGUUCCAGAUUGCUAAAACACGAGUUCAGGAUAGGUAGGAGAUGCAAUAAGUGCUUGCUCAAACUAUGGCUGAAAAUACCAAUUAAUACUGGUCCAUUAUCAGUUUCAACAAUACUAUUAAACUGAUACAAUAUUAGUAUAUUAGGCAGUCUCCUG
RNAcentral lists this long non-coding RNA (278 nucleotides) under Musa acuminata (dwarf banana). RNAcentral's name for it is "long non-coding RNA (MACU_LNC010775)". Lineage: Eukaryota; Viridiplantae; Streptophyta; Magnoliopsida; Zingiberales; Musaceae. The record is from RNAcentral.